CCUACGGGUGGCUGCAGUGGGGAAUAUUGGACAAUGGGCGAAAGUCUGAUCCAGCCAUGCCGCGUGUGUGAAGAAGGCCUUCGGGUUGUAAAGCACUUUCAGUGGGGAAGAAAGCCUUGGGGCUAAUACCCUCGAGGAAGGACAUCACCCACAGAAGAAGCACCGGCUAACUCCGUGCCAGCAGCCGCGGUAAUACGGAGGGUGCGAGCGUUAAUCGGAAUUACUGGGCGUAAAGCGCGCGUAGGCGGUCUGAUAAGCCGGUUGUGAAAGCCCCGGGCUCAACCUGGGAACGGCAUCCGGAACUGUCAGGCUAGAGUGCAGGAGAGGAAGGUAGAAUUCCCGGUGUAGCGGUGAAAUGCGUAGAGAUCGGGAGGAAUACCAGUGGCGAAGGCGGCCUUCUGGACUGACACUGACGCUGAGGUGCGAAAGCGUGGGUAGCAAACAGGAUUAGAUACCCCGGUAGUC
RNAcentral lists this ribosomal RNA (465 nucleotides) under Vreelandella stevensii. Its description in RNAcentral is "partial 16S ribosomal RNA". It matches the Rfam family "Bacterial small subunit ribosomal RNA", at positions 338 to 795 of the family's 1533-position model. Lineage: Bacteria; Pseudomonadati; Pseudomonadota; Gammaproteobacteria; Oceanospirillales; Halomonadaceae. The record is from RNAcentral.